GGGAGAAGCGGAAAACUUCUUCUGUAAGGCUUUCCCAGGACCUUCUCUGCAGAGCCUCUUCUUAAGCCCCAGCCUCUUAUCCUGUUUGUCAGGAUGGCUGAAAGAGUCCCUGCUCAGGGCAGAUAUCCUGACUCCAGCACUGAGUCCCUUUACUAAAACAGUGGUUUUCUCCUCUGAGCUAACCUAGGGAUUUCUUGGAAGUGCCUUAGGAAGCUGCUGCAGGGAAUAAGGGGGCUAGUGAGUAGGCAGGUUGUGAAUCCCUAUCUCCAUCAAGCAGAGCGGCUCCAUCUCCAUCCCUUUUAUCUACUUGGCUUCUGUGUUAGGCUGUGCUAAAAAUGUAUUUUAGUUAAAAAAAAAAAAAGUUUAAUCCUAGCUCUGCUCCAAGUGGGUUGUAUCACUUUAAAUAACCCCAGAAUGGUUUUAAAAGAUGCCAUUAUUACAAGGCUCCUAAAGCCAAAUGAGUUUUUUUGUAGUGCCACAGAAGUUUUAAUUCCAAAGGAGCACCAAUAUCUUAUUGUGUUGACGUUACCAUACAGUCUUUAAACUAUCAAAGAUCCUUUCUAGUACAAGGUCAUUUUCUUCCUCUGAGAUACCCGCAAAGUACAAGAGCAGAUAUUUCAUGAGUAUUCAUACGUGGAUU
RNAcentral lists this long non-coding RNA (640 nucleotides) under Homo sapiens (human). RNAcentral describes it as "non-protein coding lnc-VCP-5:1". Lineage: Eukaryota; Metazoa; Chordata; Mammalia; Primates; Hominidae. The record is from RNAcentral.